This 352-nucleotide ribosomal RNA is filed under the name uncultured bacterium. RNAcentral's name for it is "bacterial SSU rRNA". It matches the Rfam family "Bacterial small subunit ribosomal RNA", at positions 1 to 334 of the family's 1533-position model. The record is from RNAcentral.
GUACGCUAUUCAGAGUUUGAUCCUGGCUCAGGACGAACGCUGGCGGCGUGCUUAACACAUGCAAGUCGAACGGGCGGAUUUGGUAGCUUGCUAUCAUUGAAGCUAGUGGCAAACGGGUGAGUAACGCGUAGGCAACCUGCCUCUUGGAUGGGGACAACAUUCCGAAAGGGAUGCUAAUACCGAAUGAUGUAUAAUUUCCGCAUGGGGAUUAUACCAAAGACCGUUACGGCGGUCACCAGGAGAUGGGCCUGCGUCUGAUUAGCUAGUUGGUGGGGCAACGGCCCACCAAGGCGACGAUCAGUAGCCGGUCUGAGAGGAUGAACGGCCACAUUGGGACUGAGACACGGCCCAG